AAGACACUUGCUGUGAAAACGGAAAUGGAUGUUGAAUUCUGAAGAAAAGCUUAUUUUAGUGAUCUUUGCAGAAUGUUGUCCACUAAGCUAAUGAUGGGGAUUGUAGCACUACCCUGCACACAGACAUGGAAUUGAUCUGCCUAGUCCAUUAUCAGAAGAGUGACCAGGACUGUUCCUCCCAUCAGAGAAGUUUCUUGAGAAGCAUUACAAGGGACUUGUCUGAAUGGGCAGAAGAAAUGUUUUAACUGACUAUCCCAUCAUUGUCAGCUGUUGGAGACUGAACAAUUUACUGAAAUCAGUGCUGGGGUGUAGCAGUCAGUGGGUGUCCUCAUUUGCCCCAAGAAGAGUCAGAGAAGUAUUCAUUUUUACUGUAAAAAGUUUAGUUCAUGUAAAGAGCAUGAAGGCAGAUUUUACAGUUAUCUCCCUUAGACUAUGUAAAUUAUAAUACAGCACUUGCUAAUGAUGUUAUUUUACAUAUUAAAUGUUGUGUGAAUGUUUUCAAUUUGGUUGGUAGUCAAAGACAUGAGUUAUAGCUGCCUGUAUUGUACCAGUUUACCUACAGAAUUGAACAUAGAUUACAUGCACCUGACUCUCCAGGACAUGUUAUAUACCUGUCUGUCUUUAGAUGGGACGUAUUAUGGUACAGCAAUGUCUGCAUGUCUAUCUUUAGAUGAGAUGUAUUAUGGUACGGUAAUGUCUGUAUGUCUGUCUUUAGAUGGGAUGUAUUAUGGUACGGUAAUGUCUGUAUGUCCGUCUGUAGAUGGGACAUAUUGUGAUACAGUAAUGUAUGUCUGUCUGUCUGUAGAUGGGACGUAUUAUGGUACAGCAAUGUCUGUAUGUCUGUCUGUAGAUGAGACAUACCAUAGUACAACAAUAUAUCUAUGUCUGUCUGUACUCUGUAGAUGGGAAGUAUUAUGAUACAGCAAUGUCUGUAUGUCUGUCUGUAGAUGGGACGUAUUAUGGUACAACAAUAUCUUUAUGUCUGUCUGUAGAUGGGACGUAUUAUGAUACAACAAUGUCUGUAUGUCUGUCUGUAGAUGGGAUGUAUUAUGGUACAAAAUGUCUGUCUGUAGAUGGGCAGUGUUAUGGUACAACAAUGUCUGUAUGUCUGUCUGUAGAUGGGCAGUGUUAUGGUACAACAAUGUCUGUAUGUCUCUCUGUAGAUGGGACGUAUUAUGGUACAACAAUGUCUGUAUGUCUGUCUGUAGAUGGGAUGUAUUAUGGUACGGUAAUGUCUGUAUGUUCGUCUGUAGAUGGGACAUAUUGUGAUACAGCAAUGUCUGUAUGUCUGUCUGUAGAUGGGACGUAUUAUGGUACAACAAUAUAUGUAUGUCUGUCUGUAGAUGGGCAGUGUUAUGGUACAGAAAUGCCUGUACAUCCGUCUGUAGAUAGAUUGUAUUAUGGUACAGCAAUAUCUCCAUAUACGUCUGUAGAUGGGGUGUAUUAUGGAACAAUGUCUGUAGGUGGGACGUAUUAUGGUAUAUUAAUGUAUGUCUGUCUGUAGACGGUACAUCAAUGUCUGUAAGUCCGUUUGUCGGUGGGACGUAUCACUGUACAGUAAUGUAUGUCUGUCUGUCUGUCUUAAGAUGGUAUGCAUUGUCCAUCAUCAGUGGCCUCGUGGCUAGCCUGUCAGACUCUUGACCAAAAGGUCGUGGGUUCGAAUCCUGGCCGCGGCAGAGCCGACGUUGUGUCCCUGGGAAAGGCAAUUUACAUGAAUUUCCUCACUCCACCCAAGUGUAAAAGGGGUACCUGGCUAUAGACAGUGAAAGAUAUUGUUAGAAUGUUAGUGCUUUAGCGCCUGUAACAACAGCUUGCACUGUAUGCUUCACAGGAAGCUGAGAAAGUUCUAGGUUGAUAUAAGAUCUGCCGGGGUGAUAAUGUAUUGUGAAGCGGUUUUAGCAGCUGGAAAAAGCGCUAUGUUAUGUAAUUUGAGUGUGUGAGUUUUGAGUGCUAGUGAGCAUGUAGAGUGUGAAUGGUUUUGUUUGUGUCCUUUCUGUGUGAAUGAAGUUAUUUCUUGUUUGUGUUUCUUUUCCAUAUGUCAAUGUUCAGUUUGAAAACGAGGAGUUUUUCCUAUCUCGAGUCAAAAUUAUGACAACCGAUAAGACCAGUGAGUCUCUUGUUUAGAUUGAUUGAUUGUAUCUUGCUUAACGUCUCGCUCGAGAAUUGUUCACUCAUAUGGAGACGUCACCAAGACUGAUAAAGGGCUUCAAAUUUAGGACUAUGCUCGGUGCCAAUGGCCAUUGAGCAGUGAGGGUUCUUUAGCGUGCCACACCUACUGUGACACGAUACAUCUGUUUUUAAGGUAAUCUCCGAGGACCUGUGACAUCCACACCUGAUGGUUUGGCGAUGGAACUGUCACUACCUAUUUUAAUGACUUAGGUCUGUCACAGUCGGGAUUCGAACCCCGGCCCUUCGCAUGCUGGGCGAACGCUCUUAACUUCUCGGCCACCGCGACAAAAUUCUUGGGGAUUUUAAUUUGCUGAAACUUUCAUUUACAUGUACUAGUACCUGUCUGAUUUCUGGCCAUUCCAGCACUCAUUCUCAGUUUGGUUUUUCAGCUCCCUGGGCCUCAUGAGAUUGUGACACCGUGCAGUAGGAGCAGUUUCUACUGGUAUCUCUUAAAAGCAGACAGAGAUUUUCUUAUCAUCUGAUCCAUUUCUGGAGACAAACUUUUGUAUGGAGCUGGGUAGCAGUUACUUGAGAUGUCCGGCUGAUGGAUGAAGAUAGUUUCCCUGAGACUCUAACAUUUUGUAGAACUUGGAUAGCUCUAUUCAGUAUUGCUGUAGAAAAUGUCAGGACGGUGGAGAUUUAGAUAAGUGGUGUGAUGUUAUUGAUGGUAAACAGAAGACUGUGACCUUGAAUCUGAAGAUCUGUGAUGAAGACUGGACGUUUGGGGUCACUCUCUGUUACAGUACUACAAAUCUAACAGUGUGAUACUCAGCCACAAAGAGGUUGUCUCUGAUGUCCACACAUAAACCCCAUGGAAACUCUAAAUGACAGUGAAUGUAACGGAGGAACUGUCCGUCCUGAUCUAGGAUGUGGAUACGGUGAUUGUGAUAGUCUGCU
Molecule: long non-coding RNA, 3066 nt
Organism: Ostrea edulis (European flat oyster)
Lineage: Eukaryota; Metazoa; Mollusca; Bivalvia; Ostreida; Ostreidae
Exons: 6
Source: RefSeq, a predicted model, not a curated record